AUAUAACGGGGCUAAAGUAAGUACCGAAGCUGUAGACUUAGUUUACUAAGUGGUAGGAGAGCGUUCUAUUUGCGUCGAAGGUAUACCGGUAAGGAGUGCUGGAGCGAAUAGAAGUGAGCAUGCAGGCAUGAGUAGCGAUAAUUAAUGUGAGAAUCAUUAACGCCGUAAACCCAAGGUUUCCUACGCAAUGCUCGUCAUCGUAGGGUUAGUCGGGUCCUAAGUCGAGUCCGAAAGGGGUAGACGAUGGCAAAUUGGUUAAUAUUCCAAUACCAACAUUAGUGUGCGAUGGAAGGACGCUUAGGGCUAAGGGGGCUAGCGGAUGGAAGUGCUAGUCUAAGGUCGUAGGAGGUUAUACAGGCAAAUCCGUAUAACAAUACUCCGAGAACUGAAAGGCUUUUUGAAGUCUUCGGAUGGAUAGAAGAACCCCUGAUGCCGUCGAGCCAAGAAAAGUUUCUAAGUUUAGCUAAUGUUGCCCGUACCGUAAACCGACACAGGUGGGUGGGAUGAGUAUUCUAAGGCGCGUGGAAGAACUCUCUUUAAGGAACUCUGCAAAAUAGCACCGUAUCUUCGGUAUAAGGUGUGGUUAGCUUUGUAUUAGGAUUUACUCCGAAAGCAAGGAAACUUACAACAAAGAGUCCCUCCCGACUGUUUACCAAAAACACAGCACUCUGCUAACUCGUAAGAGGAUGUAUAGGGUGUGACGCCUGCCCGGUGCUCGAAGGUUAAUUGAUGGGGUUAGCAUUAGCGAAGCUCUUGAUCGAAGCCCGAGUAAACGGCGGCCGUAACUAUAACGGUCCUAAGGUAGCGAAAUUCCUUGUCGGUUAAAUACCGACCUGCAUGAAUGGCGUAACGAGAUGGGAGCUGUCUCAAAGAGGGAUCCAGUGAAAUUGUAGUGGAGGUGAAAAUUCCUCCUACCCGCGGCAAGACGGAAAGACCCCGUGGACCUUUACUACAGCUUGACACUGCUACUUGGAUAAGAAUGUGCAGGAUAGGUGGGAGGCUUUGAGUAUAUGACGCCAGUUGUAUAUGAGCCAUUGUUGAGAUACCACUCUUUCUUAUUUGGGUAGCUAACCAGCUUGAGUUAUCCUCAAGUGGGACAAUGUCUGGUGGGUAGUUUGACUGGGGCGGUCGCCUCCCAAAUAAUAACGGAGGCUUACAAAGGUUGGCUCAGAACGGUUGGAAAUCGUUCGUAGAGUAUAAAGGUAUAAGCCAGCUUAACUGCAAGACAUACAAGUCAAGCAGAGACGAAAGUCGGUCUUAGUGAUCCGGUGGUUCUGUGUGGAAGGGCCAUCGCUCAAAGGAUAAAAGGUACCCCGGGGAUAACAGGCUGAUCUCCCCCAAGAGCUCACAUCGACGGGGAGGUUUGGCACCUCGAUGUCGGCUCAUCGCAUCCUGGGGCUGGAGCAGGUCCCAAGGGUAUGGCUGUUCGCCAUUUAAAGCGGUACGCGAGCUGGGUUCAGAACGUCGUGAGACAGUUCGGUCCCUAUCUGCCGUGGGCGUAAGAAGAUUGAAGAGAUUUGACCCUAGUACGAGAGGACCGGGUUGAACAAACCACUGGUGUAGCUGUUGUUCUGCCAAGAGCAUCGCAGCGUAGCUAAGUUUGGAAAGGAUAAACGCUGAAAGCAUCUAAGCGUGAAGCCAACUCUAAGAUGAAUCUUCUCUAAGCUCUCUAGAAGACUACUAGUUUGAUAGGCUGGGUGUGUAAUGGAUGAAAGUCCUUUAGCUGACCAGUACUAAUAGAGCGUUUGGCUUAUCUUUAAUAAAGCAU
Molecule: ribosomal RNA, 1768 nt
Filed under: Campylobacter jejuni
Lineage: Bacteria; Pseudomonadati; Campylobacterota; Epsilonproteobacteria; Campylobacterales; Campylobacteraceae
Description: partial 23S ribosomal RNA
Rfam family: Bacterial large subunit ribosomal RNA
Source: RNAcentral